AUUCUGUAUAGACGCUGUGCCUUCGAGCGUACAGCAGCAAAUCGACGAAGACGUGGAAACGUACGUUAUAUUCCUUGGACUCUCUAGUAUGACAGGAAACUUUGGAGUAUCUACAUGGAAUAUCAUAUAGAUGUUUCGGCAAACGGUGGCGUUCGAGCAGCAGGCGACUUCUAGAGCGAGGCCGUACGGUGAACUCUGUUAUCGUCAGAGCCAGUUAUGAUUAUCGAACGUGAGCCUUUGCUGACGCUGUAUCUCGUUUCUCGUGAACCUGAACGAACCAACAAUGCGAUGGACGUAUCGACACCGUGGAGGGCGACCAGUAGCCUGGCCUCUCCAGUGAGGCAAAGCGGUGAGAUCAGAAACACUGGCAGCCGCAAGCGACAUUGCGCAGUUUGCUAACCGUGCACUGCUCCAAGGCUGUGGUGCGCGUCGGGAUCAACACGAACACCGAGACGGAACCGUUUUGGCGUCGUGGCUGCUUUCUAACGUUGGAGCUUGCAGUCGGCUGGAGAGGUCGAGUGAACGCAGCGCGGGCCGAGCGGUGCACUAGGUUCCUGUCGUGGUUCAGCGUGCGGACGUGUUGAGGCUGUUGUUCAAGUACGAUGGAGCUUGAACCACUCAAGUUUAGGACUCACGAGCGUUCGUUACUGCUACAGAUACCCUGCCCCCCGUCGGCUACUUGAGAUUGUGCUCUGUUCUAACGCUACCGGGUGCCGAGACCUUGCGAUGACGCGGGGUCGCUCUGGAGGGCGUCUGCUCGCUAGCGAUCCCCUAGAAUAGAGGUUCUGUCCCGUACCUACGCCUGUGAGUGCCUGCUUUAGGUUAGGCGGCCUCGCUAGACCUUUGCGAUCGCCCAGUGCCGUAGCUCGACAAGUUUCCUAUUUUGUUUUCCUGAUGGUACGCCUUCGGGGGAUAUGUACAGCCCAUCUGGAUAUAGGAACGCAUAUGUCAGCGAACUUUAUGCAAGCAGCGAAACUCGCGUCACAGGCUGCUGGGGCGAGUUCAGUUGGAGCUCAUUUCCCUGAAUUCCUGACAGCGAUAGCGCAAUUCACUGGCAGGAGCAUGAAUGGUGUAGUUCUUCGCGGGUGCCAGUCGUAGUUGACGAAUCGUCGAUGGUAUCCCUGCAGGUAACGUUUUCGUUUAGGAUAGAAACGUUUUCAAUGCUCUUUGAGGUGACGAGCCACACCCGUGUCGCAGUGAAUGAGAACACCGAACUUCUCGUUCCGUUCCUGUAUUUCGAUUUUUCCCUGAAGUUUUCCUUCGGUAUGUCGCCUUGAAAAUAGAAGAGUAACAAGGAGGGUCAACUUAUUUAGACUUAUUUUCAUGGUUCUCGGUCGUCUUUUCGGAGUUGGUCCCUCAUAUCGUUGCCGCCGAAGCUCAUUUGGGUACAGGAAUCAAGAUGAUCCGGGAUGCCAUCGAACAUGCGUUUGAGGAAAAACUGAUAGUGUUAUCUAGUCCAUGUGUACAUGCCUCCUUCCCUCUCCUGCCCUUAGGCGGUGUAUGCCUAGAUCACGCAUUCUUAAAAUUCUCGAUCUUCCCGUUUCGAGACGAGUUGUGAGCGCGCCUACUCGAGCCACUGAACUUAAGGCUUUUCACAAGCGUACACUGAAAAUCCAUUGUAGUUGUCACGUCAAAGUAUCAAUGCUGAUCGAAAUACAAAUCCACCGCCCUUUGUAUCCAUCAAAGAAACGCCAUUCGACAGCAGCAUAGCAUUUGCGACGGGAUAUGCUUACAGAUGCUCCCAUCUCUUCUGCUCUUUUUGCAUGGAAAAGAUUCUUGGAGCCAAACUCUGGUCAUCGUAGAGAUCGCGUCAUGUGAAGCGCGUGUCGCUCCGUCUUAGAAAAGGAAUGUGCACGAAUGACAGUUUCUAGAUUUGUUCUCUGGCCUGGAUUUUCCUGCCGAUAUUUUUUUCAUCUCGGACAAGACUGCGUUCCACAAAUUCUCUUUCGAAUGGAAAUCGCGCGCUUCUCCGUGCAGCCGUCAGCGUACGCAUUGAGAAGAUCUCAAAGAAGGAGCCCGUGAUCUUAGGGUGCCGAACCGGAUGCGGAAAUGGAGAAAAGCAUCAAGGGUUGCCAUCUGUCCUCGACAAGGGCAUAAACCUAGC
RNA transcript from Cyanidioschyzon merolae strain 10D, 2104 nucleotides. RefSeq lists it as hypothetical. NCBI's taxonomy places the organism in Eukaryota, Rhodophyta, Bangiophyceae, Cyanidiales, Cyanidiaceae. The transcript has a single exon. The record is from RefSeq and is a predicted model, not a curated record.